Molecule: ribosomal RNA, 498 nt
Filed under: uncultured bacterium
Lineage: Bacteria
Description: partial 16S ribosomal RNA
Rfam family: Bacterial small subunit ribosomal RNA
Source: RNAcentral
AUUGAACGCUGGCGGCAUGCCUUACACAUGCAAGUCGAACGGUAACGGGCCUUCGGGUGCCGACGAGUGGCGAACGGGUGAGUAAUACAUCGGAACGUGCCCGAUCGUGGGGGAUAACGAGGCGAAAGCUUUGCUAAUACCGCAUACGCUCUACGGAUGGAAGCAGGGGACCGCAAGGCCUUGCGCGGACGGAGCGGCCGAUGGCAGAUUAGGUAGUUGGUGGGAUAAAAGCUUACCAAGCCGACGAUCUGUAGCUGGUCUGAGAGGAUGAUCAGCCACACUGGGACUGAGACACGGCCCAGACUCCUACGGGAGGCAGCAGUGGGGAAUUUUGGACAAUGGGCGCAAGCCUGAUCCAGCCAUGCCGCGUGCAGGAUGAAGGCCUUCGGGUUGUAAACUGCUUUUGUACGGAACGAAAAGCCUUCUUCUAAUACAGGAGGGUCAUGACGGUACCGUAAGAAUAAGCACCGGCUAACUACGUGCCAGCAGCCGCAGUAA